This 473-nucleotide ribosomal RNA is filed under the name uncultured bacterium. Its description in RNAcentral is "bacterial SSU rRNA". It matches the Rfam family "Bacterial small subunit ribosomal RNA", at positions 328 to 793 of the family's 1533-position model. The record is from RNAcentral.
GGCUAUGACUCCUACGGGGAGCAGCAGUAGGGAAUCUUCCACAAUGGGCGCAAGCCUGAUGGAGCAACACCGCGUGAGUGAAGAAGGGUUUCGGCUCGUAAAGCUCUGUUGUUAAAGAAGAACACGUAUGAGAGUAACUGUUCAUACGUUGACGGUAUUUAACCAGAAAGUCACGGCUAACUACGUGCCAGCAGCCGCGGUAAUACGUAGGUGGCAAGCGUUAUCCGGAUUUAUUGGGCGUAAAGAGAGUGCAGGCGGUUUUCUAAGUCUGAUGUGAAAGCCUUCGGCUUAACCGGAGAAGUGCAUCGGAAACUGGAUAACUUGAGUGCAGAAGAGGGUAGUGGAACUCCAUGUGUAGCGGUGGAAUGCGUAGAUAUAUGGAAGAACACCAGUGGCGAAGGCGGCUACCUGGUCUGCAACUGACGCUGAGACUCGAAAGCAUGGGUAGCGAACAGGAUUAGAUACCCUGGUAG